Varroa destructor (honeybee mite) is the source of this 1612-nucleotide long non-coding RNA. The record is from RefSeq and is a predicted model, not a curated record. Lineage: Eukaryota; Metazoa; Arthropoda; Arachnida; Mesostigmata; Varroidae.
UGCUGUGUAGCCUAUCCAAACCGUCAAUAUUUCACUGCGAAAGGGUCGUUAGUCUAGUUUUGUCUACGUUCAAAUAGCAAUAUGGACUCAGAUUGAAAAUAGUCCCACACCCAGGUUGGGAUUCUUACGCUGCAGGGUAAUAUAUUUCAGUCAUAUAAAAUGGAUAAUCAAUUCUUGAGGACGUUUCGUCCUCACCAUUGGAGUAACGCACGCAGCGCAGUGAAAUUCCGCCAGGCCGGGAACUGGGCCCGACCAUGGUCUCGAGAGACUUCUCACCCUUUUCACUAUAUAGCCGCUACACCUAUAAUAUGUACCCGAUCGGCUCCGUGAAGUUCAACCAUCGCCCCCGUCCCCGCCGCCGCCGUCGUCGUCGUCGUUGUUGUUGCUGCUGUUGUUGUUACUGUCAGUUUAAGACGCCUUGUCGAGUAGAACCCGUCUUUCAACCUCUACUCCUCCACAUAUUAUCAACUUUCAUGAUGCGAAAGGUCUCAAGUCUCAAUCCUCGGCACACGUUAAGCCUUCGAGCCAUUCCUGCUGCUCAUCCAAAAUAGCGAACGGAUACAGGUACGUCAGCCCUCGAUCUAACGUCUUACUGCAUGAUCGAUGACAGCGUAUGAGAACGGCGUAUGUACACUGCUACUUCGACUACUGUUUAUGAAUGGCGCCCGGAACCUUGCUCAUAGGCGUUCCUCGUAUACGAUGAUCGGCCAGCAGGCGAUCGGGACCUAGUACGACUUGUCUGUGUCUAUAUUUCUGCGUGUGUGUGUUUGUGGUCAGACCGAUAGCUGGCGGAUCGGAACAAGCAUGAGCUCUCUUCACUUUUAUUCAUGAACCUCGACGGCCAGAGGAGCGCUUCUUUUCUAACCAGGGUUAUAUAACAUUGCUUGUUUCCUUUGUUGGCUCUUUAUAUAAGACUCUGCAGUAAAUGCCAGAAGCAAGUAAAGGAAAUAUAGGGUAUUCGUGUACUAUUAUUUUGAACGGCAACAGAAUGAGCUUUCGCGAAACUGCGCUACUUGCAGCGUUCGUAUCAUUCCUCAAAGACACGAAGAGGUAUUCUACUGGCCAAUGGGAGAAGGUUUCAGUAAACAGCCUUCGUUAAAUAUCCAAAAAAAUGCUGGUGUUUCUCAUCUUCGAAAUUCUAAAAUUGCUACGCCAAGCUGAAGCCACAAGAUGCAGAAGUCCUUCUACCCCUGUUUUUCGUAUAGUUUCGUAAUAGUUAUUUGUUACGAUGAGUAAUUCAAGUUCAUUUAAGUUCAAGCAUGAGAGGGACAUUUUUUUCGCAUUGAAUCAAGUCAUUUUCACGUUGUGCGAAAACGAAGCUUCCGCGAUCGUCGGUCUUCCUUCUCCCAAGGUGUCAUCCUUACGUUACAAAGCUUGGACUGAGCAAACAAAAUGAUGAACGCCUUAUUAUUUGAAGUAACACUUACUUGCAUUUGCAUAAACAUAGGUAAUUAAAAGAUCAUGACCCUACUUAACCUUUUAUUCUGGCGUAUGUACAUGUACAAUGUUAAACAAAGCACGAUAUUUGUUGUAUAGAUGAAAUUAGGACAAAAAUAUUUUUAUCAUGCGACCAAUAGUAGCACUCUAUAUAUUUGGAGACUAAUGCCAAAGC